CCUACGGGGGGCAGCAGUGAGGAAUAUUGGUCAAUGGACGAGAGUCUGAACCAGCCAAGUAGCGUGAAGGAUGACUGCCCUAUGGGUUGUAAACUUCUUUUAUAUGGGAAUAAAAUGUUCCACGUGUGGGAUUUUGUAUGUACCAUAUGAAUAAGGAUCGGCUAACUCCGUGCCAGCAGCCGCGGUAAUACGGAGGGUCCGAGCGUUAUCCGGAUUUAUUGGGUUUAAAGGGAGCGUAGGUGGAUUGUUAAGUCAGUUGUGAAAGUUUGCGGCUCAACCGUAGAAUUGCAGUUGAAACUGGCAGUCUAGAGUACAGUAGAGGUGGGCGGAAUGCGUGGUGUAGCGGUGAAAUGCUUAGAUAUCACGAAGAACUCCGAUUGCGAAGGCAGCUCACUGGACUGCAACUGACACUGAGGCUCGAAAGUGUGGGUAUCAAACAGGAUUAGAUACCCGGGUAGUC
RNAcentral lists this ribosomal RNA (460 nucleotides) under uncultured bacterium. RNAcentral describes it as "partial 16S ribosomal RNA". It matches the Rfam family "Bacterial small subunit ribosomal RNA", at positions 338 to 795 of the family's 1533-position model. The record is from RNAcentral.